UACGAAGGGGGCUAGCGUUGCUCGGAAUGACUGGGCGUAAAGGGCGCGUAGGCGGUUUGGACAGUCAGAUGUGAAAAUUCCUGGGCUCAACCUGGGGGGCUGCAUUUGAUACGUUCGGACUAGAGUGGGGAAGAGGGUCGUGGAAUUCCCAGUGUAGAGGUGAAAUUCGUAGAUAUUGGGAAGAACACCGGUGGCGAAGGCGGCGACCUGGUCCUUGACUGACGCUGAGGCGCGAAAGCGUGGGGGAGCAAACAGG
This 256-nucleotide ribosomal RNA is filed under the name uncultured bacterium. RNAcentral's name for it is "partial 16S ribosomal RNA". It matches the Rfam family "Bacterial small subunit ribosomal RNA", at positions 524 to 776 of the family's 1533-position model. The record is from RNAcentral.